GAUGAACGCUGGCGGCGUGCCUAAUACAUGCAAGUCGAACGCAUAGCGAAAGGUGCUUGCACCUUUCAAGUGAGUGGCGAACGGGUGAGUAACACGUUGACAACCUGCCUCAAGGCUGGGGAUAACAUUUGGAAACAGAUGCUAAUACCGAAUAAAACUUAGUGUCGCAUGACACAAAGUUAAAAGGCGCUUCGGCGUCACCUAGCGAUGGAUCCGCGGUGCAUUAGUUAGUUGGUGGGGUAAAGGCCUACCAAGACAAUGAUGCAUAGCCGAGUUGAGAGACUGAUCGGCCACAUUGGGACUGAGACACGGCCCAAACGCCUACGGGAGGCUGCAGUAGGGAAUCUUCCACAAUGGGCGAAAGCCUGAUGGAGCAACGCCGCGUGUGUGAUGAAGGCUUUCGGGUCGUAAAGCACUGUUGUAUGGGAAGAACAGCUAGAAUAGGAAAUGAUUUUAGUUUGACGGUACCAUACCAGAAAGGGACGGCUAAAUACGUG
RNAcentral lists this ribosomal RNA (497 nucleotides) under uncultured bacterium. RNAcentral describes it as "partial 16S ribosomal RNA". It matches the Rfam family "Bacterial small subunit ribosomal RNA", at positions 28 to 507 of the family's 1533-position model. The record is from RNAcentral.